This 458-nucleotide ribosomal RNA is filed under the name uncultured bacterium. RNAcentral's name for it is "bacterial SSU rRNA". It matches the Rfam family "Bacterial small subunit ribosomal RNA", at positions 338 to 793 of the family's 1533-position model. The record is from RNAcentral.
CCUACGGGAGGCAGCAGUAAGGAAUAUUGGUCAAUGGGCGCAAGCCUGAACCAGCCAUGCCGCGUGCAGGAAGACGGCCCUACGGGUUGUAAACUGCUUUUGUACCGGAAUAAACCUUUUCACGUGUGAGAAGCUGAAUGUACGGUAAGAAUAAGGAUCGGCUAACUCCGUGCCAGCAGCCGCGGUAAUACGGAGGAUCCAAGCGUUAUCCGGAUUUAUUGGGUUUAAAGGGUGCGUAGGCGGUUCUUUAAGUCAGGGGUGAAAGACGGUAGCUUAACUAUCGCAGUGCCUUUGAUACUGAAGAACUUGAAUACACUUGAGGUAGGCGGAAUGUGACAAGUAGCGGUGAAAUGCAUAGAUAUGUCACAGAACACCAAUUGCGAAGGCAGCUUACUAAAGUGUCAUUGACGCUGAGGCACGAAAGCGUGGGGAUCAAACAGGAUUAGAUACCCUGGUAG